UGGACAGAUUAUUGUAUUCGACUGUAUUCACGGUAGGGGAUGACACUGUUUUUAAAAGAGAAAGUGAAUCAACUAACAUAAUAGACUCUA
This 90-nucleotide microRNA precursor is filed under the name Nicotiana sylvestris (wood tobacco). RNAcentral describes it as "MIR6152 microRNA precursor family". It matches the Rfam family "MIR6152 microRNA precursor family". RNAcentral also lists the same sequence under 1 other name. Lineage: Eukaryota; Viridiplantae; Streptophyta; Magnoliopsida; Solanales; Solanaceae. The record is from Rfam by way of RNAcentral.